Molecule: long non-coding RNA, 302 nt
Organism: Oncorhynchus keta (chum salmon)
Lineage: Eukaryota; Metazoa; Chordata; Actinopteri; Salmoniformes; Salmonidae
Exons: 3
Source: RefSeq, a predicted model, not a curated record
CCAUCUCCCUUCUGUCCCAAUCCUAAGGUACUCACAGUGUAUAUAACCCAGUUCCCUUCUGUUCCAAUCCUAAGGUACUCACAGUGCAUAUAACCCAGCUCCCUUCUGUCCCAAUCCUAAGGUACUCACAGUGUAUAUAACCCAGUUCCCUUCUGUUCCAAUCCUAAGGUACUCACAGUGCAUAUAACCCAGCUCCCUUCUGUCCCAAUCCUAAGGUACUCACAGUGUAUAUAACCCAGUUCCCUUCUGUUCCAAUCCUAAGGUACUCACAGUGCAUAUAACCCAGCUCCCUUCUGUCCCAA